Molecule: long non-coding RNA, 577 nt
Organism: Spinacia oleracea (spinach)
Lineage: Eukaryota; Viridiplantae; Streptophyta; Magnoliopsida; Caryophyllales; Amaranthaceae
Exons: 4
Source: RefSeq, a predicted model, not a curated record
UCUUUUAUGAUGCAGGUCCUAAGAAUAACUCUCUAAAUUUAUAUCUUCAGAUAGUUUUCCAUAGCAAUAGAGUGCUUGGUUCUUGAGCUCGGAAGAUGGAUAUUGGGUUUUUCUAUGGCCAUUGCAGACUACAUAGUUAAUGUCACCAUUAUUAAUGGCGUACUUGAAUGCUAAAAUGCUGUUAGAGAAGGAGCUUCCCUUAACAUCAGAAAUUGUGUGGUGUGAAUGGUAGGACACUUUGAUUUGAUAGAAUAAUAAAUAUUACAAAGGAUAAUCCCUUUUGUACUACACUAACUAAAUGUAUUAAUGCUUGUCGUGCUACAUGUACAAUGUGGAUUGCUGAGGAGCUUUUACAGCGAUAACAAAGGGAAUUUUGGUGUCCUGCUCUGCUAGAAAUACUGGACCCGACUCUAGCAGCUUGUCAAAUGUUGCUCCAUGGAUAACCACUGUGGGUGCUGGUGAAAUCGAUCGUGAUUCCCCAACCUAUGUUAUCCUAGGAGAUGGCAGGAAUGUUACCGGUGCAUCACUUUCCAGUGUUUUCUGAAGAAAGUUAUUCAUCGGAAAAUGUGGAUGAGGU